CGAAAAACAACAAACCUACGAUAAUUGUGAAGAACACAAUCAUAACUAUCUCCUGCAAAAAAUAAAAACAAACCAAAACUUCAUAUACUGCAGAACACAAGAACUGAUACUCUCAAAACCAUACCUCGACUACAACCACAAUACAUAAACCCAAACUACCUAAAACAUCAUGUACAUAAAUCCUCUAUAGUCUGUAAGUAAAUACCCAUAAAAGUAGAAUGAAAAAUUCCAGUACGUUCGAUAACAUAUUAACAUGUAAUCAUGUAUAUUCUUAUUUAUACUCCCAAUAAUCAGAAACUCAUACAUCAUUACGACGGCAUCAUAUACAACUACCAAUGGCUAAACUAUACUUCGUUCGAAAAAAACCCAAAAUAUCUUCAAACAAAACUGUCUUGCAAAUACAAUAUGACAUACGAAAAUACAAGUUCAAAACUACUAGAGUAAAAGUUUCCUAUCAGAAUAAACCAACAAAUACGAUAAUAUAGCACACCUAUGAAUACAAUAUAAGUCCAAUGACCAAAAUUCCGGUAGGCUUAAAGAAAAAACGGAUGACCAAAACUCCGGUAGGCUUAAAGAAAAAACGGAUGACCAAAACUCAGAGACGAAGCAAAAGAAAACAUAAGAAGAAACACCUGUACAAGAUAAGAUAACAUAACAAAGAAACACAGACGAAGCAAAAGAAAAUGCUAACCUUCUUCAAAGAUGAACACUAGGAUCGGGGGGAGGGGCUUCUUCAAACAGAAAAACCUAAAAGAGAGACUCUGGGAGACAACAACGAAAAACCCUACUACUUAUACACUACAAUGGCAGUUGCCCCGAUCGAUCGCACAACCACCGCUUCAAACCACCGCACAACGCUUCACCGAGGACGCGUCUGUUUCUAAAUUUCUAUGACUUGUUCUACUGGCGUACAACAACUUGGCUCAUUUAACACACCUAUCUUUGACAUACCAGAAGUUUUCAUUCCUCUAAUUGUCGUUCUUUCUUUUUCUUCUUCCUCGUUCAUUUCUUCUCCUCUCUGAUCUUCGAUCUCCACGACUGAAGCCGUUCUCAUCGGCUGCUUCUAUCACCAGCAUCAACAUCAACGACGAUAAGGUGAAAACCUUAACAGUUCCUUUAUUCUACAUUGAUUGUGUGAGAUGAAAAAAAAAUACAAGACUAACCUUGUAGGUGUUGUUUUCCAAUCCUCCGUUCAUCUUUAACCCG
This 1206-nucleotide long non-coding RNA is filed under the name Zostera marina. Its description in RNAcentral is "long non-coding RNA (ZMAR_LNC000501)". The record is from RNAcentral. Lineage: Eukaryota; Viridiplantae; Streptophyta; Magnoliopsida; Alismatales; Zosteraceae.